CCAAUAGCGUAUAUUAAAGUUGUUGCAGUUAAAAAGCUCGUAGUUGAACUUCGGGGUUCACUUAUUGGUCAGGCUUAAUUGUCUGUACUGGUGAGAUGAAUCUCUACCUUCUGAGGAACUUUCAUGCCAUUUAUUUAGUGUGAUUGGAAAUCAGGACUGUUACUUUGAAAAAAUUAGAGUGUUUAAAGCAGGCUAACGUCUGAAUACAUUAGCAUGGAAU
Molecule: ribosomal RNA, 220 nt
Filed under: uncultured Diversispora
Lineage: Eukaryota; Fungi; Glomeromycota; Glomeromycetes; Diversisporales; Diversisporaceae
Description: partial small subunit ribosomal RNA
Rfam family: Eukaryotic small subunit ribosomal RNA
Source: RNAcentral